This 447-nucleotide ribosomal RNA is filed under the name uncultured bacterium. RNAcentral's name for it is "bacterial SSU rRNA". It matches the Rfam family "Bacterial small subunit ribosomal RNA", at positions 331 to 792 of the family's 1533-position model. The record is from RNAcentral.
CCAGACUCCUACGGGAGGCAGCAGUGGGGAAUAUUGGGCAAUGGGCGCAAGCCUGACCCAGCAACGCCGCGUGAAGGAAGAAGGCUUUCGGGUUGUAAACUUCUUUUAUUCGGGACGAAGAAAGUGACGGUACCGAAUGAAUAAGCCACGGCUAACUACGUGCCAGCAGCCGCGGUAAUACGUAGGUGGCAAGCGUUAUCCGGAUUUAUUGGGUGUAAAGGGCGUGUAGCCGGGCUUACAAGUCAGAUGUGAAAUCCGGGGGCUCAACCCCCGAACUGCAUUUGAAACUGUAGGUCUUGAGUAUCGGAGAGGCAGACGGAAUUCCUAGUGUAGCGGUGAAAUGCGUAGAUAUUAGGAGGAACACCAGUGGCGAAGGCGGUCUGCUGGACAGCAACUGACGCUGAGGCGCGAAAGCGUGGGGAGCAAACAGGAUUAGAUACCCGAGUA